UUCCCGAUACUCUUGGAUAGCCUUCCGAAAGGGAGAUUAAUACAAGAUGGUGUUUCACUUUCGCAUGUUAUUGAACUAAGAUUUAUCGGUAUCGGAUGGGGAUGCGUGACAUUAGAUAGUAGGCGGGGUAACGCCCACCUAGUCUACGAUGUCUAGGGGUUCUGAGAGGAAGGUCCCCCACACUGGAACUGAGACACGGUCCAGACUCCUACGGGAGGCAGCAGUGAGGAAUAUUGGUCAAUGGUCGGAAGACUGAACCAGCCAAGUAGCGUGAAGGAUGAAGGUUCUAUGGAUUGUAAACUUCUUUUAUACGGGAAUAAAACACCUUACGUGUAGGGUCUUGUAUGUACCGUAUGAAUAAGCAUCGGCUAACUCCGUG
Molecule: ribosomal RNA, 379 nt
Filed under: uncultured bacterium
Lineage: Bacteria
Description: bacterial SSU rRNA
Rfam family: Bacterial small subunit ribosomal RNA
Source: RNAcentral